UGUGCUUCUAUGCCUUUUUGCUAAGUGUAGUAUCUGUUCUUAGUGUAAUAUCUGAUAUGUCUCCCAUUGGGGGACUACAUAUCAACCAGAUUUUUUUAACAGGGAGUUGGUAAAAGGGCUUGCUUCUUCCACUCCAUGCAUAGACCCAUA
Molecule: small nuclear RNA, 150 nt
Gene: U2
Rfam family: U2 spliceosomal RNA
About the family: U2 is a small nuclear RNA (snRNA) component of the spliceosome (involved in pre-mRNA splicing). Complementary binding between U2 snRNA (in an area lying towards the 5' end but 3' to hairpin I) and the branchpoint sequence (BPS) of the intron results the bulging out of an unpaired adenosine, on the BPS, which initiates a nucleophilic attack at the intronic 5' splice site, thus starting the first of two transesterification reactions that mediate splicing.
Source: Ensembl